Molecule: non-coding RNA, 74 nt
Organism: Potamilus streckersoni
Lineage: Eukaryota; Metazoa; Mollusca; Bivalvia; Unionida; Unionidae
Source: the annotation of a GenBank genome assembly
CACUCAGGUACCUAAGUGGUUAGAGUGUCUGCCUCAGAUGCCAGAGGUCUUGGGUUCAAAUCCCAGCCAAGUCA